CCUACGGGUGGCAGCAGUAGGGAAUCUUCCACAAUGGGCGAAAGCCUGAUGGAGCAACGCCGCGUGGGUGAAGAAGGUCUUCGGAUCGUAAAACCCUGUUGUUAGAGAAGAAAGUGCGUGAGAGUAACUGUUCACGUUUCGACGGUAUCUAACCAGAAAGCCAAGGCUAACUACGUGCCAGCAGCGGCGGUAAUAGGUAGGUGGCAAGCGUUAUCCGGAUUUAGUGGGCGUAAAGGGUGCGUAGGCGGUCCGUUAAGUCAGCGGUAAAAUUGCGGGGCUCAACCCCGUCGAGCCGUUGAAACUGGCAGACUUGAGUAGGCGAGAAGUACGCGGAAUGCGCGGUGUAGCGGUGAAAUGCAUAGAUAUCGCGCAGAACUCCGAUUGCGAAGGCAGCGUACCGGCGCCAGACUGACGCUGAGGCACGAAAGCGUGGGGAUCGAACAGGAUUAGAUACCCCAGUAGUC
This 464-nucleotide ribosomal RNA is filed under the name uncultured bacterium. Its description in RNAcentral is "partial 16S ribosomal RNA". It matches the Rfam family "Bacterial small subunit ribosomal RNA", at positions 338 to 795 of the family's 1533-position model. The record is from RNAcentral.